CAAUCGUCUUGUAUUUGAAUAACCUGUAAUUAGCCAUAUAGUUAUUCUAAGCCUCUUCACAGGGCUGUGAACUGCUCACUCAAGUACUGGCUACAGGAUUCACCCCAGGUUUGUAGAUGGACCAAAGCUGUUUA
RNAcentral lists this long non-coding RNA (134 nucleotides) under Coturnix japonica (Japanese quail). RNAcentral's name for it is "lncRNA (ENSCJPG00005020124.1)". The record is from RNAcentral. Lineage: Eukaryota; Metazoa; Chordata; Aves; Galliformes; Phasianidae.